This is a microRNA precursor of Operophtera brumata (winter moth), 83 nucleotides long. The record is from Rfam. NCBI's taxonomy places the organism in Eukaryota, Metazoa, Arthropoda, Insecta, Lepidoptera, Geometridae.
AGGCCCUCACGGACGGUGGGUGAAUCUCUAGUGUCAAGUUGUCAAAUCUUGACUAGAUUUUCACUUAUCCUCUGUGGGGGCUG